GACGAACGCUGGCGGCGUGCUUAACACAUGCAAGUCGAACGGAAAGGCCUCUUUCGGGGGGUACUCGAGUGGCGAACGGGUGAGUAACACGUGAGUAACCUGCCCUUGACUUUGGGAUAACUUCAGGAAACUGGGGCUAAUACCGGAUAGGAGCUCCUGCUGCAUGGUGGGGGUUGGAAAGUUUCGGCGGUUGGGGAUGGACUCGCGGCUUAUCAGCUUGUUGGUGGGGUAGUGGCUUACCAAGGCUUUGACGGGUAGCCGGCCUGAGAGGGUGACCGGCCACAAUGGGACUGAGAUACGGCCCAGACUCCUACGGGAGGCAGCAGUGGGGAAUAUUGCACAAUGGGUGGAAGCCUGAUGCAGCAACGCCGUGUGCGGGAUGACGGCCUUCGGGUUGUAAACCGCUUUCGCUCAUGACGAAGCUUUGUGUGACGGUAGUGGGUAAAGAAGCACCGGCUAACUACGUG
This 467-nucleotide ribosomal RNA is filed under the name uncultured bacterium. RNAcentral describes it as "partial 16S ribosomal RNA". It matches the Rfam family "Bacterial small subunit ribosomal RNA", at positions 28 to 507 of the family's 1533-position model. The record is from RNAcentral.